Molecule: ribosomal RNA, 305 nt
Filed under: uncultured bacterium
Lineage: Bacteria
Description: partial 16S ribosomal RNA
Rfam family: Bacterial small subunit ribosomal RNA
Source: RNAcentral
ACAGCAGCAGCCGCGGGAAAACGUAGGGUGCAAGCGUUAAUCGGAAUUACUGGGCGUAAAGCGUGCGCAGGCGGUUUGUUAAGACAGAUGUGAAAUCCCCGGGCUCAACCUGGGAACUGCAUUUGUGACUGGCAAGCUAGAGUGUGGCAGAGGGGGGUGGAAUUCCGCGUGAAGCAGUGAAAUGCGUAGAUAUGCGGAGGAACACCGAUGGCGAAGGCAGCCCCCUGGGCCAACACUGACGCUCAUGCACGAAAGCGUGGGGAGCAAACAGGAUUAGAUACCCCAGUAGUCCCUGUCUCUUAUAC